RNAcentral lists this unclassified non-coding RNA (225 nucleotides) under plant metagenome. RNAcentral's name for it is "partial contains small subunit ribosomal RNA, internal transcribed spacer 1, and 5.8S ribosomal RNA". The record is from RNAcentral.
UUUCCGUAGGUGAACCUGCGGAAGGAUCAUUAGCAAAUUGAAGAUGUUAGCGGCCCUCUUCGGAGUCCCCAGCAUCAGAUCAUAUCCACAACACCUGUGCACUGUAAGGCUGUCUUGAACGCGAACGUGGUUAGGGCGCCUGCCCAUUUUAUACAAACCUUAAAGUGUCAAACGUAGUCUUAUUAUAAUCUAAUAAAACUUUCAACAACGGAUCUCUUGGCUCUC